This 1155-nucleotide long non-coding RNA is filed under the name Helianthus annuus (common sunflower). RNAcentral's name for it is "sRNA HanXRQr2_Chr11g0469231". The record is from RNAcentral. Lineage: Eukaryota; Viridiplantae; Streptophyta; Magnoliopsida; Asterales; Asteraceae.
UUAGUCUAAUUUAGCUUAAUUUCACCUUUAGUGCGUAUUUUAGUGCUUAUUUUUGGUUCAGCGACCGCAAUGAUGAUAUAUGAAUUCAGAACAUUUUUUUUAUUUUGUAUUAAAUGAAGGUUAUACAUCAACUACCACUGCUCCUAUUCACAACGUGUUUGAUCACCAAUAAUUCCUCAGUUUCCUCCUUCUGAACACAUGUUCAUACUUUGUUAACUUUGGCCUCUAAUUCAGUAAUGAUGCGUCUGGUUUUAUAGUAAUUAACUUUUAUAAAAUAUUUGGUUUUCUUUUAUGUGAGACCUGGCUGUGGACCUUGAUGAAGGAGUUUGAGAGCACUUUGCCUUCUAGCACUUAGGAAGGAGGUUGCACUUUUCGACCCAUUUGACAAAACAGGUUAUUCAUGCAUGUUUAAGCUAUUUGCCAAUCAAAGGAGAUCUUAUUGAGGCUAAAGGUGUUCACGAGCUACUUUGUUCAUUGGUCAAAAGACAAGUAUGGGCAAUCCUUUUUAUUGUUCUUCUUUACCUCUUUUUGCAUUGCUUCUAACAAACUUUGUUGUCUAUAUCACAAGUUAGACAUGGAACUGCAGCGUCCCUACAAUCGAUAUGUGCAAUAAUUGUUUCUAUAUUUGAUAUAAAUAUUUGAGUAUUCUAUUAUAUCCAUGCCCUGUGAGCUGAGGGGGCUACUCUAUUGAUUACCAGCACUCAUGAUUGGGUGAAUAGUCGUAGACAGUAUGCUUUCACGCAAAUAAGUUCCACUCUAUCCUUAUCCAGGACAUUGGAUUCUUAUAGCUUGGAAUUAUGGUUAAAGUGGAAUUUGUUCUUCGUUCUUAAGUGAGAGGGUUUGAGUCAAAAAAAAAAACGAGUACUUUUGCAGGUUGGGUUGGAAUUCUCAGCACAUUCUCUAUUGGAUGGUGGAAUAUUGAAUAUACAAGAGAUGAAUAUGACAUGGUUGGAGAUACGAAUUGAGUAAAAGUCUUGCGGCAUGAUCUGUUUACAAAUGAUGCUCUACUUUGGCUUUAGUUUCAACAAUUUAAAAUGUGUGCUUGGCGGUAGUUAAAGACGGAAGAGAAUAUUAGAGGGAAAGUCAACCACAUGAAGAAAGGAAAGAUAUUAGCUUUGUUCGAGAAUUUAGUGAAAAUGGUGUAGAUGAAGAUGU